RNAcentral lists this ribosomal RNA (497 nucleotides) under uncultured bacterium. RNAcentral's name for it is "partial 16S ribosomal RNA". It matches the Rfam family "Bacterial small subunit ribosomal RNA", at positions 28 to 507 of the family's 1533-position model. The record is from RNAcentral.
GACGAACGCUGGCGGCGUGCCUAAUACAUGCAAGUUGAGCGCUGAAGGUUGGUACUUGUACCAACUGGAUGAGCAGCGAACGGGUGAGUAACGCGUGGGGAAUCUGCCUUUGAGCGGGGGACAACAUUUGGAAACGAAUGCUAAUACCGCAUAAAAACUUUAAACACAAGUUUUAAGUUUGAAAGAUGCAAUUGCAUCACUCAAAGAUGAUCCCGCGUUGUAUUAGCUAGUUGGUGAGGUAAAGGCUCACCAAGGCGGUGAUACAUAGCCGACCUGAGAGGGUGAUCGGCCACAUUGGGACUGAGACACGGCCCAAACUCCUACGGGAGGCAGCAGUAGGGAAUCUUCGGCAAUGGACGAAAGGCUGACCGAGCAACGCCGCGUGAGUGAAGAAGGUUUUCGGAUCGUAAAACUCUGUUGGUAGAGAAGAACGUUGGUGAGAGUGGAAAGCUCAUCAAGUGACGGUAACUACCCAGAAAGGGACGGCUAACUACGUG